Molecule: small RNA, 148 nt
Filed under: Candidatus Scatosoma pullistercoris
Lineage: Bacteria; Bacillati; Bacillota; Clostridia
Description: M-box riboswitch (ykoK leader)
Rfam family: M-box riboswitch aptamer (ykoK leader)
About the family: M-box riboswitch, also know as ykoK leader is described as a metaloregulatory RNA that sense divalent metals and function as a genetic control element of genes related to divalent metal transport in bacteria. It was first reported upstream of the B.subtilis ykoK gene and genes with related functions in other bacteria. Phylogenetic analysis of the distribution of M-box RNAs across bacterial genomes revealed that M-box riboswitches are most often employed for the regulation of Mg2+ transporter genes
Source: RNAcentral
CUAUUCGGUAGGUGAGGCUAUUACAGAGAUACGGGUUGCUGCCGCGGAAUCGUGGAGACACGAUGAGAAGGUUGAACAGGCUGCGUCGAAUCAAGGGGCAGCAUAAUGCAACUUCAUCGCUUUGUAAAGUUGAAGCUCGGACGAAGAG